RNAcentral lists this ribosomal RNA (660 nucleotides) under Shigella sp. US8. Its description in RNAcentral is "bacterial SSU rRNA". It matches the Rfam family "Bacterial small subunit ribosomal RNA", at positions 90 to 747 of the family's 1533-position model. Lineage: Bacteria; Pseudomonadati; Pseudomonadota; Gammaproteobacteria; Enterobacterales; Enterobacteriaceae. The record is from RNAcentral.
GACGAGUGGCGGACGGGUGAGUAAUGUCUGGGAAACUGCCUGAUGGAGGGGGAUAACUACUGGAAACGGUAGCUAAUACCGCAUAAYGUCGCAAGACCAAAGAGGGGGACCUUCGGGCCUCUUGCCAUCGGAUGUGCCCAGAUGGGAUUAGCUAGUAGGUGGGGUAACGGCUCACCUAGGCGACGAUCCCUAGCUGGUCUGAGAGGAUGACCAGCCACACUGGAACUGAGACACGGUCCAGACUCCUACGGGAGGCAGCAGUGGGGAAUAUUGCACAAUGGGCGMAAGCCUGAUGCAGCCAUGCCGCGUGUAUGAAGAAGGCCUUCGGGUUGUAAAGUACUUUCAGCGGGGAGGAAGGGAGUAAAGUUAAUACCUUUGCUCAUUGACGUUACCCGCAGAAGAAGCACCGGCUAACUCCGUGCCAGCAGCCGCGGUAAUACGGAGGGUGCAAGCGUUAAUCGGAAUUACUGGGCGUAAAGCGCACGCAGGCGGUUUGUUAAGUCAGAUGUGAAAUCCCCGGGCUCAACCUGGGAACUGCAUCUGAUACUGGCAAGCUUGAGUCUCGUAGAGGGGGGUAGAAUUCCAGGUGUAGCGGUGAAAUGCGUAGAGAUCUGGAGGAAUACCGGUGGCGAAGSGGCCCCCUGGACGAAGACUGACGCU